GACGAACGCUGGCGGCGUGCCUAAUACAUGCAAGUAGAACGCUGAAGAGAGGAGCUUGCUCUUCUUGGAUGAGUUGCGAACGGGUGAGUAACGCGUAGGUAACCUGCCUUGUAGCGGGGGAUAACUAUUGGAAACGAUAGCUAAUACCGCAUAACAAUGGAUGACACAUGUCAUUUAUUUGAAAGGGGCAAUUGCUCCACUACAAGAUGGACCUGCGUUGUAUUAGCUAGUAGGUGAGGUAAUGGCUCACCUAGGCGACGAUACAUAGCCGACCUGAGAGGGUGAUCGGCCACACUGGGACUGAGACACGGCCCAGACUCCUACGGGAGGCAGCAGUAGGGAAUCUUCGGCAAUGGGGGCAACCCUGACCGAGCAACGCCGCGUGAGUGAAGAAGGUUUUCGGAUCGUAAAGCUCUGUUGUAAGUCAAGAACGGGUGUGAGAGUGGAAAGUUCACACUGUGACGGUAGCUUACCAGAAAGGGACGGCUAACUACGUGCCAGCAGCCGCGGUAAUACGUAGGUCCCGAGCGUUGUCCGGAUUUAUUGGGCGUAAAGCGAGCGCAGGCGGUUUGAUAAGUCUGAAGUUAAAGGCUGUGGCUCAACCAUAGUUCGCUUUGGAAACUGUCAAACUUGAGUGCAGAAGGGGAGAGUGGAAUUCCAUGUGUAGCGGUGAAAUGCGUAGAUAUAUGGAGGAACACCGGUGGCGAAAGCGGCUCUCUGGUCUGUAACUGACGCUGAGGCUCGAAAGCGUGGGGAGCGAACAGGAUUAGAUACCCUGGUAGUCCACGCCGUAAACGAUGAGUGCUAGGUGUUGGAUCCUUUCCGGGAUUCAGUGCCGCAGCUAACGCAUUAAGCACUCCGCCUGGGGAGUACGACCGCAAGGUUGAAACUCAAAGGAAUUGACGGGGGCCCGCACAAGCGGUGGAGCAUGUGGUUUAAUUCGAAGCAACGCGAAGAACCUUACCAGGUCUUGACAUCCCGAUGCUAUUUCUAGAGAUAGAAAGUUACUUCGGUACAUCGGUGACAGGUGGUGCAUGGUUGUCGUCAGCUCGUGUCGUGAGAUGUUGGGUUAAGUCCCGCAACGAGCGCGACCCCUAUUGUUAGUUGCCAUCAUUCAGUUGGGCACUCUAGCGAGACUGCCGGUAAUAAACCGGAGGAAGGUGGGGAUGACGUCAAAUCAUCAUGCCCCUUAUGACCUGGGCUACACACGUGCUACAAUGGUUGGUACAACGAGUUGCGAGUCGGUGACGGCGAGCUAAUCUCUUAAAGCCAAUCUCAGUUCGGAUUGUAGGCUGCAACUCGCCUACAUGAAGUCGGAAUCGCUAGUAAUCGCGGAUCAGCACGCCGCGGUGAAUACGUUCCCGGGCCU
RNAcentral lists this ribosomal RNA (1369 nucleotides) under uncultured bacterium. Its description in RNAcentral is "bacterial SSU rRNA". It matches the Rfam family "Bacterial small subunit ribosomal RNA", at positions 28 to 1381 of the family's 1533-position model. The record is from RNAcentral.